AAGGCAGGCAACUGCUUGAGGCCACAGGUCAGUGAGGAACCCAUGUGGUCUGGCAAACUGCAGCAGUGGCAAGUUUUAGUUACAGUAGGAGAGACCCUACCACCCUCGGGGGGCCCCACAUGACUCUGGUCACUCCAGAUGCCAGUUGCGUGCAUGAUUCAGUUUAAACAAACCCAAUAACAACAAGCUAUUCAGAGAAACUAAAGAGCAGUUAUUAUUCUGGGAAUGAAAAGGAAAGAAGAAAACAAGGAAGAGGAGAAAAAAGCAAGAUAGUGCGCUAGGACUUCUCUGAUCUUUGUUGUGUCUCUUGGAGUGGACCCCAUGGGCGCGCUGAUGGAACUGGCUGAGGCCUUUUGACACGAGCAAGCACUUGAGUCUUUCCUCUGUAGGCCAGUGCCAGGCCUCAGUUGCCAGGAACAUGAUAGAAGAGGGCGUCAAGAACAGUACAGCACCAUCAUCUUUGCUCCAUCUUCCUGCCUGCCUCUCUGUGAUUUGUUCUGGUGUUUAAUAGAAUUUUUUUUUCCUUUCACAAGUGUGUUUUUUUUCUUUUUGGCUCAAGUGUCAUCUGUGAAUAUUUGAUUGAUUUGGUUUGUUCAGAUGAAUCUUUCACUCCCAGUAUCGACCCACUGUUUCCCAGCUCUCUCGUGCUCAUCAGCAUGAUUUGCAGCUAUUUAUUAUACCAGUGGAGACUUGACUGUCACUUUCUGGGGUUUGUUGCUUAUCAGACACGCCUUUCUGUAACUGGGGAAAUGUCACUGUCAUACAUCAA
Oreochromis aureus is the source of this 769-nucleotide long non-coding RNA. RefSeq lists it as uncharacterized. The transcript has 2 exons. Lineage: Eukaryota; Metazoa; Chordata; Actinopteri; Cichliformes; Cichlidae. The record is from RefSeq and is a predicted model, not a curated record.